Molecule: transfer RNA, 73 nt
Filed under: Dipodomys ordii (Ord's kangaroo rat)
Lineage: Eukaryota; Metazoa; Chordata; Mammalia; Rodentia; Heteromyidae
Rfam family: tRNA
About the family: Transfer RNA (tRNA) molecules are approximately 80 nucleotides in length.
Source: Rfam by way of RNAcentral
GGGGAAGUGGCUUACUGAUUAAAGCGCUUGCCUCUCAAGCAUGAGGCUCUGGGUUCGAUUCCUCAGCACCUCA